RNAcentral lists this unclassified non-coding RNA (326 nucleotides) under Hevea brasiliensis (rubber tree). Lineage: Eukaryota; Viridiplantae; Streptophyta; Magnoliopsida; Malpighiales; Euphorbiaceae. The record is from RNAcentral.
UCUUAGGCUUUCCAAACCAAUUUGACGGCUUAAAAGUAGCCAACCGCCUCAAUAAAUCCCCUCUUUCCCAUGGCCUGCAUGAAGGCCUUGAUGAUCCAAGAACAGAACCACCAGCACUGGUGCUCAAGGAGGUCCUUGGUAAUUGUGAGCCAGCAACAGACAGAGAGGCUGCUUUGGAAGUAUGCCAUUUGCUGGGACAGUAGGGGAGGAUGCCCCAGCAGAACUAGCAGCAGGAGUGGGAUCCAUGGUACCUCCGGAGCUGAUAACUUCUUCCCUCAUUGGGCUUCUUCCAAGGGAAAACUUUGAUUUUUGGGGGUGUUUUCCCC